UCUUCGGAUGAAGUCUCUUGUGACUGAGUGGCGGACGGGUGAGUAACGCGUGGGUAACCUGCCUCACACAGGGGGAUAACAGUUGGAAACGACCGCUAAUACCGCAUAACCCGCUGGUGCCGCAUGGCACUGACGGAAAAGAUUUAUCGGUGUGAGAUGGACCCGCGUCUGAUUAGCCAGUUGGCAGGGUAACGGCCUACCAAAGCGACGAUCAGUAGCCGGCCUGAGAGGGUGAACGGCCACAUUGGGACUGAGACACGGCCCAGACUCCUGCGGGAGGCAGCAGUGGGGAAUAUUGCACAAUGGGGGAAACCCUGAUGCAGCGACGCCGCGUGAGUGAAGAAGUAUUUCGGUAUGUAAAGCUCUAUCAGCAGGGAAGAAAAUGACGGUACCUGAUUAAGAAGCCCCGGCUAACUACGUGCCAGCAGCCGCGGUAAUACGUAGGGGGCAAGCGUUAUCCGGAUUUACUGGGUGUAAAGGGAGCGUAGACGGUGAUGCAAGUCAGAAGUGAAAGCCCGGGGCUCAACUCCGGGACUGCUUUUGAAACUGUGUAACUGGAGUGCAGGAGAGGUAAGCGGAAUUCCUGGUGUAGCGGUGGAAUGCGUAGAUAUCACGAGGAACACCAGUGGCGAAGGCGGCUUACUGGACUGUAACUGACGUUGAGGCUCGAAAGCGUGGGGAG
RNAcentral lists this ribosomal RNA (682 nucleotides) under uncultured bacterium. Its description in RNAcentral is "bacterial SSU rRNA". It matches the Rfam family "Bacterial small subunit ribosomal RNA", at positions 74 to 768 of the family's 1533-position model. The record is from RNAcentral.